UCCCUCAAAUUUUUGCUGUAAGUAGCAUUUUUGUAAUGAAUAGCGCCUUCCAAAUCACACAGAGAUGGAUACGUAGCUAAUACCUGCUUAGCACAAGACGACAGUUCUUCCGAAGCUAAAAAUAAUAAUGGACAUGGCACCUUUUCGGAUGGUAAUGUUAUGCCUGAAUAACGGAUAUUUCCCCGUUUCGAAAAUACUACCUAUGAAAAAGAAGAAAUAAUCUGAGAUUGUUGGGGAUUUUCUUCUAAUAUCGCUGUUUUCUAAUGUUUUCGAUUCCAUAAUGAAAGUUAAAAUGAAAAGUGAAUUCGUAAUUGAACCUAUCUCGUGUUAUCAGAUUGGAUUUAGGUCUGGGAACCCGACCCAUAUCGAUAUUGUAAGCAAUCUAAGACACAGAAUUUCCACCGUCGCUAUUUCUCUGGACAUACAAAAGGUAUUCGACUCGACCUGGCAUAAAGAACCGAUAAUUCUGUGUCCAAAUUCGCAAUUCAAUGUGUGAUUUCAAGUAUUAAGGAGUGGCAUCCCCGAAGGGAGCGUUUUUGCGCCCUUUUAUUCAAUAUAUACCUUAACGACUUCCCUCAUUGCUACAACAAUUCUCAAGCGAUUCUAUAUGCGGAUGAUUGCCUUAUUUACUCCCAUAACAAAUUCCCAAUAGAAGCCCUAAACCAUCACCCGAAAAUCUUAACAUCAUACGCAAUUUUUAUAAAGUAAAAGCGAAGCUAUCUGCAUACGUAAUGCAAGUGGAAAACGUCAUAGAUUUGUGUUGACGCAAAGCAAAAACCUAGACGGAAUCGAAAUACAGUUAAAAACUACUUUAAUGUAUUUGGAGUAAGUUUUAAUCUGCUGUUUUAAUGUUUUAAAUGAAUUUUUAUAAAAGCUUUAAAUUUAUUUUUUGAAGAUUUAUCUAUUGACAGCGUUUAAAAGUUCCAUACGUUUACAGAACUAAAAUUGAAUUCAGAUAUUGUUAUUUAGUUAUAAGACUACUCUGUGGUUGUU
Molecule: long non-coding RNA, 993 nt
Organism: Musca domestica (house fly)
Lineage: Eukaryota; Metazoa; Arthropoda; Insecta; Diptera; Muscidae
Exons: 3
Source: RefSeq, a predicted model, not a curated record